Gasterosteus aculeatus aculeatus (three-spined stickleback) is the source of this 1377-nucleotide non-coding RNA. NCBI's taxonomy places the organism in Eukaryota, Metazoa, Chordata, Actinopteri, Perciformes, Gasterosteidae. The record is from RefSeq and is a predicted model, not a curated record.
UACUUAUUUGUGUUGUGCUUUAGUGCCAAGACAGAAUUGCUCUGUGAAAUUUGUUUCUUGAGCUCCCGAACUAGGUACAGGGGACAAUAAUUGGCAGUAAAUCUGAACUAAUACAGUGAUGCAGCAAUGGCGCAUUUUGUGGGUCAUGCAGCUCACAUUCGCACCUGUUCAUCCAUGACAAUCCAAUGGGAUUUUCUCAUUGGAUUUUGGAUUAGUGCGGGAAAUAAGCUCUGUGGAAAACAAGUGAUUAUGAUACAUUUUGUUCAGAUAAUCCUCACAAAGACCACUUUUAUGAUUUGUGAAGCUUAAUAUGCAAUUGCCAGAAGUGAGAGCAUUAGGCUAUGAAGAGGCUACCUGUCUCCCCACCUACCAGAAGCUAAUAUGUCACAUGUGAAACAAUUUUUGAUUUAUUAUAUCACUCUGAUAACAACCGUUUAGAUACGCUAUUAGAUUCGUAUAAAAAAAGGAAAGCAGACCAAUUAUUUUAUCCUCCAAUUCCUCUCCGUGAAAGAGGUUCAGCCGCCUGUGCGUCGCACAACGCUAAACUAUAACGUGUCUUGUUUAUGACCUCGUACUUAUCCGUAAACACAUGUUUGUAACGGGCAGACUCAGCCUCAACCGGCUAACGUUAGCUAGCCAGCAGUCUCACACCUCACACUACAGAUGUAACAUAUAUAAAUAAAGUUAUAGUAGCGGCCAAAACUGAUACUAUUACACCUCUUAAUGACACCACCCAGCGUGUUAGCCCGUAACGUUAGUUUAGUUAAUCAACGUUGGCUACAACCGGCUGAACGUGAUGUGUUGUGGGGUCCUGAGGUCAUUUCUCUUGUUUUUGUUGCUCAUAUGUUUCUGCCUCCAAAAUGAAUGAAUGUUUCUGUCUGUAACAGAUCUGCAAUCAAAAGGAACUUCUUCGGGGACAGCUGGGCCUCCUCAGCGAGACCAACAUGGUGGAUUUUGCAAUGGAUGAGUACAAUUAUUUGUAGCUAAUGAAAUAGAUAAUGAAAUCCUAUCCCGUAAGAGCCAUCGUUUAAUAGGUAAUCUAGGUUGUGGUUGGUCUCGUCACGCAGACGGAGCCAAUCGUCAAGAAGACCCAGAGACGACUGAACAGACGCAGUGCACAAGUCCCAUCCCAGCCUGCUUCCCCGGAACCUGACGGAUUCCCCGGCUUCCCCUCUCGCCCUCCGCGGCUUGGGAGAACCCCUCCAGCCAGCCGGAUCAUUACCUCUCCCUCCAGCGUGGAUUCUAUCGACUGCAGCGCUCCUGCCGCCUGGACCCCUGUGCCUCUCUGCCUCUCCAGCAUCUUCCCCGGCCACGGAUCCCGAACAAACUAUUUAAGUCCCUCUGCUGCCAAAAUAAAAUCUUUUUUCAUCCUCUGAA